AGUUUUGAGGACAUCUGCUGAAGGGGUUUUCACGACUGGCACAUCGACAGAGGUUGCAGUUAAUAUCAGAAUUAUCUGGAAAUUAAAUGUUGAGAUUGGAGACGUAAGCUGGACGAGGAUAUAAAACUGAAGAUUUUACACCCACAGAGCGCUCUACAGCCGGGAUCCAGAGUCUACAUUAUUAUUAACAAUUAUCCUGGAGAAAAACUAAUGAGGGAGACCAUCAGGACCAAGCUGUGUUUCCUGGGUGCAGAGGUUUCCUUCAUCACAGCUGUCCCGUGCCAGAUGUUGUGUUGACUCACUGACAGACAUCAUUUCAGAAACCUCAGGAAGACUGAAGCUCACCGCAAGGAUCAAGGAGGGCUCAUAAACUUUACCAGCAACUUCAGACCUCAACCAUAGGCUCACCCCAUAACAUGGACAAACCCAGCACCUCAUGAACAGUGUGAUACUGACCUUUGCUUUUUGUAAUGUUAGAAAUACUCACAUCAUCCUCAUAUAAUGCAAAGAGGCUCUCAACUUUUAAAAAUGUUAUAUUCAGUCC
Oreochromis aureus is the source of this 544-nucleotide long non-coding RNA. NCBI's taxonomy places the organism in Eukaryota, Metazoa, Chordata, Actinopteri, Cichliformes, Cichlidae. The record is from Ensembl.